RNAcentral lists this transfer RNA (83 nucleotides) under Cordylochernes scorpioides. RNAcentral's name for it is "tRNA-Val". The record is from RNAcentral. Lineage: Eukaryota; Metazoa; Arthropoda; Arachnida; Pseudoscorpiones; Chernetidae.
UGUCCAAUGCGGGGAUCGAACCCGGGUCGUAGUGGUCGUAAACCAAACGGUUUAACCAGCCUUCCACCGACCCAUACAUAAAC